Molecule: long non-coding RNA, 1832 nt
Organism: Cyprinus carpio carpio
Lineage: Eukaryota; Metazoa; Chordata; Actinopteri; Cypriniformes; Cyprinidae
Source: Ensembl
GGAAGAGGCGAGAUGGAGAGGUUAAAAGAGAGAGAGAGGGAAGGAGAAAGAGAGAGAGAUUUAUGUAGGAAGAAAAAUUACCUUUGUCGCACAGAAGGACAGUGGUAAAUGGUGCGUCAUUCUGCAGUAAUUUACAAAUCACCGAGUGGAAACAAAAUUAGAUUAACGUUGAUGUACGUUGAAAUGGACCUGCUAAACAUCACUAUUAAUUACACUGUUGUCAAGGGCGAAAAUUAUUUAUUUUCAUGGCAGAGGGGAAAACAAAGGGUUUAAAUGGGUUAACAGGCAUUUUUCACUUGAGCAACCUUGAAAAAAAAAAAAGACAAACAAAAAUACGAAAACCAGGGAAACCAUAGAUUUUCAAUUAAAGGGCCCUAAUGUCUACAUUACUACUGAAGCAAUACACUUUCUGACUUAUGGUGAACAGCAAGAACAACAAAGACACCGCAGCUUUACGACUCAUUGAAGACAUUAAUGAGCAAGAAAAUGUAGGUUUUCGUGGCUCCAAAGAUCAACCAUUUUGGAUGUUUCCCAUUAAAUUAGUAUCUUCAGAUAUCCCACCCUCACUCAAAGAAAAAAAGUCACAUCUGGUUAAAAAAAAAAAAAAAAAAACACUACAUAUAUAUAUAUCUCUCGCCUCUCUGACUUGGUGUCAUCUUCACAUUCUUUUGUUUUCUAAUUGUAAAAGCAGAAAAGAAACUCUAGGAAGCUGUCAAAGCGAUGAAGUUCUCAUGCUGACAGUGCGGUGAACUUCUUUGUGGUUGCAGAGGAGGUGAGCCGGUCCGUCCAAUUCCAGUCUGAGCGCCGCUCAUUAGGGCACGACAGCGCAGGCAGCCGGGGGGACGCGGCAGCACCCGGUCCACCCUGACUCAGGCAUCCAGCGGGGCAUCUGGCAGGGCUACACUUCAGAACGGAAGGGCCAAAAUGACAUCUCCAAUCCAGAUGCUGGGGCCAAUCAUGAUGGGAAAAUUGACAAGUGAUGCACUCCUUAAGAUCCAUCCAUCUGUCACUCCAAUUCCCUGGUCAGCAAAUCAUUUCUUUUCCAAAGACACAUGUGAAGCAGACUUCUCCUACCCACUUUAAUCAUCACUCUGUGCUCGAAAAUAACAGAGGCUGUCCCGUGGACCGCUGUGGUUUCUGGUGAUCAUAACAGAUAAUUACCCACCUCCCUGGACAGCCAUACUGCACAUGUCUCCCCGAAGCACUAGUGAUCUCCUAGUGAAUGUGCUGCACUUGUGAAAGCUCAGUGUGUGAGUAACAAGCUAGAAGUGGCAGUGGUUCAGUCCCUUAUGUCACCCAGAUAGUCUUCAGAUGGCACGCAAAGGUAAGUCAAACUUCACUCACAAAAAAAAAAAAAAAAACUUUUUUUAUCUUGAAGAGGAGGAUGAAUUAAUCAAUAAAAAGGAUGACCAGUAAAAAAUGGUCUGCUCAUAAUUCCUCACAUGUGUCAGAUCUGUAUCUGAGUGUGUGUUUUAGCAACAGGGGGCACUGUUGCUGUUCUGAAGGAGAGAGCUGGCAGCUUGCUGCAGUGAGUGAGUGACCAAAGGAAAAUCAUUGCUCAGUGACCGACGGGGAAGCUGCACUGAUCGCCAUUGAUCCUUUAGUGCUGUCCCCUAGCUUGACCACUGCCCUUGUGCCCGUGCAAGGCUAACAUAGUUUUAUCAGGCUGGACCACUGCAUUACAGCCAAUACACAAUAACCCCAGUACUGUACGGAUGCCUGUGUGUGCAAUAAGAGACCUCAGAUGCACUGAGGAUACUCUGCAUAUUCCUGGAUAUUCUACAUGCUCCUUAUCGGUUUGUAUUAGUGGGCAUGUGAGAUGACAUGCAAGG